GCUAAUACCGCAUGGUUUCUUGAUCUCUCGGGGUUGAGAAUAAAGCAGUAAUGCGCUCAAGGAUGGGGUCACCCCCCAUUAGCUUGUUGGUAGGGUAACGGCCUACCAAGGCUGCGAUGGGUAGCUGGACUGAGAGGUUGGCCAGCCACACUGGGACUGAGAUACGGCCCAGACUCCUACGGGGGGCAGCAGUCUAGAGGCUUCGACAAUGCCCGAAAGGGUGAUCGAGCGACGCCGCGUGCGGGAUGAAGGUCUUCGGAUUGUAAACCGCUUUUGUUUGGGAAGAAGGCCUGUGUCGUGAACAUGGGAUUGACGGUACCAAACGAAUAAGCCCCGGCUAACUCCGUGCCAGCAGCCGCGGUAAGACGGAGGGGGCAAGCGUUGUUCGGAAUCAUUGGGCGUAAAGGGCUCGUAGGCGGACUAGUAAGUCUGGCGUGAAAUCUCCACCGCUCACCGGGGAGAGGUCGCUGGAUACUGCUAGUCUUGAGUUCGGUAGAGGGUCGUGGAAUUUCGGGUGUAGCGGUGGAAUGCGUAGAUAUCCGAAAGAACACCGGUGGCGAAGGCGGCGACCUGGGCCUGAACUGACGCUGAGGAGCGAAGGCUAGGGGAGCAAACGGGAUUAGAUACCCCGGUAGUCCUAGCUGUAAACGGUGGAUACUAGGUGUGGGGGGUAUUCGACCCCUCCUGUGCCGUAGUCAACACAUUAAGUAUCCCGCCUGGGAAGUACGGCGCAAGGUUGAAACUCAAAGGAAUUGACGGGGGCCCGCACAAGCGGUGGAGCAUGUGGUUUAAUUCGACGCAACGCGAAGAACCUUACCCGGGCUCGAAAUGUUAGGGACAUCCCUGGAAACAGGG
RNAcentral lists this ribosomal RNA (855 nucleotides) under uncultured soil bacterium. RNAcentral describes it as "bacterial SSU rRNA". It matches the Rfam family "Bacterial small subunit ribosomal RNA", at positions 162 to 1011 of the family's 1533-position model. The record is from RNAcentral.